RNAcentral lists this long non-coding RNA (597 nucleotides) under Olea europaea subsp. europaea. The record is from RNAcentral. Lineage: Eukaryota; Viridiplantae; Streptophyta; Magnoliopsida; Lamiales; Oleaceae.
CUCACCACGACUAAGAAAGGGUAAUCUAUUUUCCAUUUUACAAAUAUUCCAAAGUAUUUUAUACAGUGUAGUGUCUUUACUUGAUUGUAAAAAAGUAAACAUGACUAAAAUAAUGGAAUAAACUCCACCACAGACAACAAAAAGAAAAUUGCCAGACAAUAUGAAAAUCAAGAAUGCUAGACUCGUUUGUAAAUAUCAAUCGUGGAAUCGCAUUGUUGAGUUUAUUUGACUCUGAUACCAUAUUGAGUCUUAGAGUUCGAUUUAGUUGAUUCUAACAACUCGUUUUAAUCUUAUAAGCCAAUCCAUUCUUGCAGGAAGGAGAAGAUUUCCAGAAUAAAGAAGAAAUGGAUAUGCUGAAAAUGAUUUUUGAGGAAGAAUGAAAGCGAUGGAAGAAGAAUAGAAUAAGCUAUAUAUGAUGCAGAAGAAGUUGUCAUAAUUUUCUGCAUAUUGUUUAUUUUAUUGAGAUUUGUGUCCCCAUGUUUUACGUAGCAAGCCAUGCAUGGUUGUAUGCAGAGUGUUUCAUGAUCUAUAUAAUAAAUAAGUGAAUGUUCAUGUUCUUGUUUAAUGGAAGUCUUGAAAUAAAUCUUUACUUUAAGU